CCUACGGGUGGCAGCAGUGAGGAAUAUUGGUCAAUGGGCGCGAGCCUGAACCAGCCAAGUAGCGUGAAGGAUGACUGCCCUACGGGUUGUAAACUUCUUUUAUAAAGGAAUAAAGUGAGGCACGUGUGCCUUUUUGGCUGUACUUUAUGAAUAAGGAUCGGCUAACUCCGUGCCAGCAGCCGCGGUAAUACGGAGGAUCCGAGCGUUAUCCGGAUUUAUUGGGGUUAAAGGGAGAGUAGAUGGGUUGUUAAGUCCGUUGUGAAAGGUUGCGGCUCAACCGGAAAAUUGCAAUUGAUACUGGCAGACUUGAGUACAGUUGAGGUAGGCGGAAGU
This 333-nucleotide ribosomal RNA is filed under the name uncultured bacterium. Its description in RNAcentral is "partial 16S ribosomal RNA". It matches the Rfam family "Bacterial small subunit ribosomal RNA", at positions 338 to 668 of the family's 1533-position model. The record is from RNAcentral.